GAGGGUAUAGCCCAGUGGUAGAGAACAUGCCUAGCAUGCAUGAGGUCCUGGGUUCAAUCCCCAGUACUGCCA
Transfer RNA from Camelus ferus (Wild Bactrian camel), 72 nucleotides. It matches the Rfam family "tRNA". From Rfam's summary of the family: Transfer RNA (tRNA) molecules are approximately 80 nucleotides in length. Their secondary structure includes four short double-helical elements and three loops (D, anti-codon, and T loops). NCBI's taxonomy places the organism in Eukaryota, Metazoa, Chordata, Mammalia, Artiodactyla, Camelidae. The record is from Rfam.